ACUCUUACAUAUAUAUAAACUUAAAAUAAGUCAAUAAGUACAAUUUUUGGUCCUAAAGAUUGUUAUGACUACUUAUUAUAAAAAAAUUUAAAUCAAAAAGCGCUACAAACAUUUAUACUCUAUAACAGCACAGAAAUAAUAUUUUGCUAUGCAAAAUUUUAAUUUACUUAAGUGACCGUUAUUCAUGAAACCGACAGAGUUUUAACUUCAU
This 211-nucleotide unclassified non-coding RNA is filed under the name Melitaea cinxia (Glanville fritillary). RNAcentral describes it as "misc RNA ENSMCXG00005001195.1". The record is from RNAcentral. Lineage: Eukaryota; Metazoa; Arthropoda; Insecta; Lepidoptera; Nymphalidae.